This 439-nucleotide ribosomal RNA is filed under the name uncultured bacterium. RNAcentral's name for it is "partial 16S ribosomal RNA". It matches the Rfam family "Bacterial small subunit ribosomal RNA", at positions 339 to 795 of the family's 1533-position model. The record is from RNAcentral.
CUACGGGUUGCUGCAGUGAGGAAUAUUGCACAAUGGGGGGAACCCUGAUGCAGCAACGCCGCGUGGAGGAUGACGCAUUUCGGUGUGUAAACUCCUUUUAUAUGUCAAGAAAAUGACGGUAGCAUAUGAAUAAGCACCGGCUAACUCCGUGCCAGCAGCCGCGGUAAUACGGAGGGUGCAAGUGUUACUCGGAAUCACUGGGCGUAAAGGACGCGUAGGCGGGUUGGAAAGUCAGGUGUGAAAUCCUACAGCUUAACUGCAGAACUGCACUUGAAACUUCUAAUCUAGAGUAUGGGAGGGGGAGAUGGAAUUAGUGGUGUAGGGGUAAAAUCCGUAGAUAUCACUAGGAAUACCUAAAGCGAAGGCGAUCUCCUGGAACAUUACUGACGCUAAGGCGUGAAAGCGUGGGGAGCAAACAGGAUUAGAUACCCUUGUAGUC